CUUAUACCCUCUCCGUCCCAAAAUUCUUGUCUUAGAUUUGUCUAAAUAUGUAUGUAUCUAAUUACAUUUUAGUGUUAGAUACAUUCAUAUCUAGAUAAAUAUAAGACAAAAUUUUUGGAACGGAGGAAGUAUUAU
Molecule: non-coding RNA, 135 nt
Organism: Triticum aestivum (bread wheat)
Lineage: Eukaryota; Viridiplantae; Streptophyta; Magnoliopsida; Poales; Poaceae
Source: Rfam